RNAcentral lists this non-coding RNA (28 nucleotides) under Homo sapiens (human). The record is from RNAcentral. Lineage: Eukaryota; Metazoa; Chordata; Mammalia; Primates; Hominidae.
UGACCAAUGCACGAGUGCCUGAUGCCCC